Molecule: RNA transcript, 885 nt
Organism: Helicoverpa armigera (cotton bollworm)
Lineage: Eukaryota; Metazoa; Arthropoda; Insecta; Lepidoptera; Noctuidae
Exons: 2
Source: RefSeq, a predicted model, not a curated record
UAUGAAGUUAAUUUCAUGGCAAAUUAAAAUAUUUCUUCAUGUGUACAACGGCUGUAAUGAAUUCAUCGGCUUUGUGUCUCUCGCCUAACUUACCACACAGGACAAUAGCUAACAAUAUUAGACCGUGUAUUGUGCGUUUACACUCCUUCGCAGCAAUUACAUAUUCUUUUGUUUUUCUACAAACCAUUCAACAAGGCCUUGGCAACACAUUGAAACAGUAAUUUCUUCCACACAAAUAUUCAUUUGUUUCUAUGUUUGUCUUCAAACUCGGCCAAAUAUAUAAGGUAGGACAUUUUUCAUGUCAGUCAGUGCGAAUUGAAUAGUGUCAAACUGAACAAGUGAAAUAAGUAUUCACAACAAAACUUACAAAAUGUCGAAGUCAAUUUUGAUCACAGUCCUGGCACUCGUAGCGUCUGUGUGUGCUAAGCCAUACGUAUACAGCUACAACUAUGGUACACUGCCAUACACGUCACUGCCCUACUCCCGAGCAGCAUACACUACUGCAGAUUUGUACAACCCUGCAGUAGCUCCACUGACUGCAGCCGCCGUCGCUCCAUUAUCUGCAGCUGCCGUCGCUCCAUUGUCUGCAGCUGCCGUCGCUCCAUUGCCGGCAUCAUACCCUGCAUACUCUGCAGCUUACGGAGCCUACUCUGCACCCUCACUCUCCCAGCAAUAUCAGCUUAUGGCUCCUCCUAUAGCGUUGAAGAGUUAGCGUCCUUAAUCAAUCCUGCUACAGUCUACGCAUCUCCUUACAAUUAUUUGUACAAAUGAUAAGUUCUUAAACAAACGACUAUCGACUUGUGAUUUUUUAUUGAGAUGAUUGUUUUAUAGCGUUCCGUUGAUAUCGAUUUGAUUUUGUUAUAUUAUUAUAAGUUGAGCUUUUAA